Zingiber officinale is the source of this 607-nucleotide long non-coding RNA. RefSeq lists it as uncharacterized. The transcript is spliced from 2 exons. The record is from RefSeq and is a predicted model, not a curated record. NCBI's taxonomy places the organism in Eukaryota, Viridiplantae, Streptophyta, Magnoliopsida, Zingiberales, Zingiberaceae.
UAAGAAUAAACGGUCAUGCAUGUUCUUCCACCACUCUUCUGAAGCUGACUAUAUAUACCCCUUUAUAUUUCGCUUGAGUUGAUAUAUCAUAUACUCGGAGCUUCUUUAGAUUAACUGAAGGAAUGAAGUUGAUGGUGAUCACCUCCUCUCUGAUAGUAGUCAUGUUUCUAAUGAGCUCGUCAGUAAUUGUGAUGGCAGCUGCAAGAGAGGGUCCAUAUGAGGAAGUAGCCAUGGCUGCCCACCAGGAUGAGGCGGCCAAUCCUCUGGGCCAUGGGACGAUGCAAAACUUAGAGAACUCCAGGUUACUUGAUACAGCUCUAAUAGAUUCGAUCCCCAUCGGAUCUAAAUGCAACGCCAGAAAUCCCUGCCCGAACCCCCCGUGAACACGAAAUCUAUAUAAAAUGACCAAGUUGAAGCUUUAUUAACUACUUUACGCUUACAUAUAAUGGAAUAAUGGAUGAGGCUUCAUCAUGUAUGAUCCAUGUCCCUUGCCCACAUAUGUAUGAAAGUCAUGUAUAUAUAUAUAUAGUGUGCCACUAUUAUACAUGCCAACGUUUUAUACAUAUGUGUUGCGACUAUAUAUAUAUAAAAGUAAAGUUUAUGUAAA